This 628-nucleotide ribosomal RNA is filed under the name Escherichia coli. RNAcentral describes it as "partial 16S ribosomal RNA". It matches the Rfam family "Bacterial small subunit ribosomal RNA", at positions 905 to 1533 of the family's 1533-position model. Lineage: Bacteria; Pseudomonadati; Pseudomonadota; Gammaproteobacteria; Enterobacterales; Enterobacteriaceae. The record is from RNAcentral.
AUGAAUUGACGGGGGCCCGCACAAGCGGUGGAGCAUGUGGUUUAAUUCGAUGCAACGCGAAGAACCUUACCUGGUCUUGACAUCCACGGAAGUUUUCAGAGAUGAGAAUGUGCCUUCGGGAACCGUGAGACAGGUGCUGCAUGGCUGUCGUCAGCUCGUGUUGUGAAAUGUUGGGUUAAGUCCCGCAACGAGCGCAACCCUUAUCCUUUGUUGCCAGCGGUCCGGCCGGGAACUCAAAGGAGACUGCCAGUGAUAAACUGGAGGAAGGUGGGGAUGACGUCAAGUCAUCAUGGCCCUUACGACCAGGGCUACACACGUGCUACAAUGGCGCAUACAAAGAGAAGCGACCUCGCGAGAGCAAGCGGACCUCAUAAAGUGCGUCGUAGUCCGGAUUGGAGUCUGCAACUCGACUCCAUGAAGUCGGAAUCGCUAGUAAUCGUGGAUCAGAAUGCCACGGUGAAUACGUUCCCGGGCCUUGUACACACCGCCCGUCACACCAUGGGAGUGGGUUGCAAAAGAAGUAGGUAGCUUAACCUUCGGGAGGGCGCUUACCACUUUGUGAUUCAUGACUGGGGUGAAGUCGUAACAAGGUAACCGUAGGGGAACCUGCGGUUGGAUCACCUCCUUA